AUUGAACGCUGGCGGCAUGCCUUACACAUGCAAGUCGAACGGCAGCACGGGAGCAAUCCUGGUGGCGAGUGGCGAACGGGUGAGUAAUAUAUCGGAACGUGCCCAGUCGUGGGGGAUACCGUAGCGAAAGCUACGCUAAUACCGCAUACGAUCUAUGGAUGAAAGCGGGGGAUCGCAAGACCUCGCGCGAUUGGAGCGGCCGAUAUCAGAUUAGGUAGUUGGUGAGGUAAAGGCUCACCAAGCCGACGAUCUGUAGCUGGUCUGAGAGGACGACCAGCCACACGGGAACUGAGACACGGUCCAGACUCCUACGGGAGGCAGCAGUGGGGAAUUUUGGACAAUGGGCGCAAGCCUGAUCCAGCAAUGCCGCGUGCAGGAUGAAGGCCUUCGGGUUGUAAACUGCUUUUGUACGGAACGAAACGGUGAGCUCUAAUACAGUUUGCUAAUGACGGUACCGUAAGAAUAAGCACCGGCUAACUACGUGCCAGCAGCCGCGGUAA
This 500-nucleotide ribosomal RNA is filed under the name uncultured bacterium. RNAcentral's name for it is "partial 16S ribosomal RNA". It matches the Rfam family "Bacterial small subunit ribosomal RNA", at positions 30 to 523 of the family's 1533-position model. The record is from RNAcentral.